Caenorhabditis elegans is the source of this 81-nucleotide non-coding RNA. NCBI's taxonomy places the organism in Eukaryota, Metazoa, Nematoda, Chromadorea, Rhabditida, Rhabditidae. The record is from Ensembl.
AUUGGUUUUAACCCAGUUAACUAAGGUUAGCAUUAAUUUCGACCUUUCGAAAGAUUGUGUUGAAUAACAAUAAUUUUUGGA